GAGCAGGUGACCCGACCCAGCCCCACCCUCUCUUGUAUAAAUACUCCCCUGGGGGAGGCAGAGCCUCAGCCUUCCUGUCCCUGGCUCUGCACUCUCAGGUGUUUCGUGUGUCACUUCCUGGACUUGCCUCAUAAAGAUGGAUCCAGGUCACAAGGGUCAUUGCCCUCCUCAUGGUCCACCACCCCCUGGCCCUGGGGGACCCCCCCCUCCAGGACCUGCUUGCCCAGCCCCUGGCCACGGUCCUGGGGGACCCCACCCUCCAGGACCUGCUUGCCCAGCCCCUGGCCAUGGCCCUGGGCACCCUGGUCCUCACCAUCACCAUGGCCCCGGGCACCCUGGUCCUCAUCACUGAGAAAUGAGAAGACAAGAAAACACUAGAUGAGGAGGCUACACAGAACCCCCAGCUGACCCAGCUCCCUGUCUUACCCAGAAUUUUUUUCCCAAAUAAAUAGCCUCCUGGAUGCCACA
Molecule: long non-coding RNA, 468 nt
Organism: Arvicola amphibius (Eurasian water vole)
Lineage: Eukaryota; Metazoa; Chordata; Mammalia; Rodentia; Cricetidae
Exons: 4
Source: RefSeq, a predicted model, not a curated record